Leptonychotes weddellii (Weddell seal) is the source of this 695-nucleotide non-coding RNA. NCBI's taxonomy places the organism in Eukaryota, Metazoa, Chordata, Mammalia, Carnivora, Phocidae. The record is from RefSeq and is a predicted model, not a curated record.
CAGACGCCCAACCAUCUGAGCCACCCAGGCGCCCUAUAAGCUAUGUUCACUGAGGGCCUGGAACCCCUGCUACUAUGGUAGCAGUGAGCACACCUGAGCACCCAGAUCUUGAUUUCUAAAUGCUGAAAGGAGCCAUGGCUCCUUGGAGAAAUGUCCAGCUUUAGGGCUGGGGUAGAGAAAAUAACAAGAUGAACCUGGGACAUUGUGAUUUGCCAGGAAGAAAGGAAAUCUCAAAAAAUGAUGAGUGCAUGUCAGAACACUGGAGCCACUCAAAAGAUUCUUACUGGUCAACUGUGUAUCAAGUCGAUUAUGAAAGUAUUGAUUACAACUAUAUUCAUAUAAAAAUGAGGAGCAGGGAAAGCUUUUAAAAGAACAUCAACUAAGAAAAUAAUGCAUUUGAAAAAUCAUUUUACUAAAGGGAGAAAGUGCAAGUUUGAUGAGCAGGAACAUUUACAUUGUCCUAAAAGUAUUGUGCUCGCUUCGGCAGCACAUAUACAUUGUCCUAAAAGUAUUAACUUGCCAUGUAAUAAUAUGCAUUACUUGCCAGGGGACAUUCUAAAAAAUCCCCAACCUGGACACGCAGUUGGAGAGGUGGUAUGAUCAUCCCCAUUUUAAAGAUUGAAAUACUAAGUUUCAUAGAAUGUCUUUUAAAAUUAAGGAAUUUGAAUCCAUAAAGAACUUUACAGCUGUCAAAA